Long non-coding RNA from Macrobrachium nipponense, 3572 nucleotides. RefSeq lists it as uncharacterized. NCBI's taxonomy places the organism in Eukaryota, Metazoa, Arthropoda, Malacostraca, Decapoda, Palaemonidae. The transcript has 3 exons. The record is from RefSeq and is a predicted model, not a curated record.
CAGCUGAACGGGAGAAAUGGCUCCUGCCUUUUACCUUACGGUUUUUGGUGCUUUGAGGAAAUCCUUGCGGGAGAAACAGAAGUUUUCACUGUGUGCUAAAGUGUUUUUGUAUAUAUCAAAGAAAAAGAACUUUGCCGGUAAUAGUAAUGAAUGAAAAGGGGGAAAAACGAUAGUUAAAAGGAAAUACUUUCCUUUAACCCAAAAUACCACACUAAUACCAAGAAUGAGAGGAGUUAUCGCAACUUUGUCCUGGUGAAAACAAUGAUGUCGAUAUCCUGAGGAAGGAGACUGUCUUAUUUAUUGAUAAGUUGAGUAAUUAUUCAAAUUAUAAUUAUUAACCGACUGAAUAUGGAAUGAUGUCUUCGCCGAAGGGAAUUCUGAAAAGAGAGAAUCGGCCACGGUCACUGCAGUAAAGCUAGUUAUCUGUUCAAGAUUAUUACAUAUAAUAAUAAAGGUUCGACGUUUGAAGAGGCAAGAAGUCAACAUCAAUUGCUUCAAGAAGCUUCAAGAGAUAUCUCUCCGUCUUCCACCAGACGCAACAUUUUCAAAACUUGUGCCGGACAGAUAUGAGAUUUAGAUAAAAGAAAAAAGUCAAUUUAUUUUCAGUAUGAUUGAAUAUUAUUGAUUUUUAGGGAGGUUCUUAUUAAGAUGGUGGUAAUGAUUUCGUUCAACUUGGUAGGAAGAUAGCAAUUACAAUUCUUGUAUUUUCACGAGUUGAAGCUUUGCGCACAAAUCCAGCCGGAAGUUUUAACAUGGAUUUUCCCAGCGUAUGAAGACUUGUUACAUCUGCAAUACAGUAGUCAGUUUCUCGUUCAAGUAUGAAUUUUUUGACAUUUCACUCUUCAAAUAACAGAUGAUUUUGUAGAUAUUCAGCGAUAUGACACACACAGCUUAGUGUCUGGAAAGCUGGUGCUGCGAAAGCGUGGAAAAAUAUUGAUUGUGAAUAUAAUUUAAGUAAAGAGCCACUUGAUGUUAAUUUGAGGAGAGGUAAAGUAGGAAGACCCAUUUACCAUAAUGCUUGAUAGGAUUUUUUCGUUCUAAAUUUAAAAAUUCUCUGAACAGAACUAGCAUCAUUGGAAACAUGUUUAAGAGGAUUGUGGGUGGUUUACAAAGCAGUUCAGACACUAAUGUUAAAACUAUAGCACAGCUUUGAUUCACAGGCCUAUAACAGCGUUUGUUGUCAAAAAAUGCAGAUUUCUCAGAGUUAGGUGUUACAUUGUUCAUCGAAACUUUCAAUAAGGUCUUUGUAUUGUUUGUAAGUAUUUGAUAUCAUAAAUGUGUUAUGAUUUGGUACUCUACCUCCAACGAGCACAUUGAAUGCUCUGUAAUUAUGGGAUUAGCUCUCUCUCUCUCUCUCUCUCUCUCUCUCUCUCUCUCUCUCUCUCUCUCUCUCUCUCUCCCUUGUCAACUUUUGCAGUGAUUUAUAAUUGUCAAACUUUCAGAUCUUUAAUAGUUUGUAACUUUGUUGACGUUCUUGAUUACACAAAGUCUUAAUUACUGUCUUCGGCAGAAUGGAUGGAUUCUGUCUUUUUCGAUGUUUACAUUGUUCUGUUUGCGGAAAACACUCUCUCUCUCUCUCUCUCUCACACACACACACACACGCGCGCGCGCGCGCGCACACACAAGCAAAAGGAAAAUUGCAAUUCUUCUAAUGAAGAAAUCUAGAAGUAACUUGGUUGUUUUAAUAUUAAGGGAUUUUUGCUAUGGCUAAAGUGGUCAUAGAUAAUAUGUAUCCCUUACUUUGGAUAUUUUAAUGAGCACAGAAAGAAAAAUGGUGAAAUUGUGCAUUAAGUAUAUAUUGUAAUUUACUGAGUAAUGUGAAGACUGGAAACUUGAGUAAAAUGGGGUCUAUAACCACUGGCUUUAUCAUCACUACAUUUUACAUAAUCAUUAAAACACCACUAUUCCGUAUACUAUUUUUCCGAUUCCUGUAGUAAUUUCAGGAAUGUCUUGAGUAGAUCUUUUACUUGUUCUACAGUCACUGUGCUAGAGACAUUCAACAUGCAUGGAGGAGGCGUUAUUUUUUCUUCUGAUCAAAACAGAAAAAUAGGAAGUUCAUAGUUGGAGUGAUAUGAAUCUUCACUAAAGAAAAGUAUAGUCUUUAAUUAAAUGAACUCUUUGAUCUAAAAUUUGUAUAGGUCGUGUAUUCUAUUCAGCGGAUUAUACUUAAAAAUAAAUGAGAAGUGACUAGACAGGGGACUGAACAUUAGUUUAUUUUUUAGCUUUUAUUAGAGAAAAUAUAAUAUUUUACCGUUUUAAUAGUAUUACAAGCAGAAUUUCAUCAAGGUUUACUUAAAUUUACCAGAAUUUAACAACUUUUAGCGGUUACAUUUUACUAUGUAUUUCAGUGUUAAUAUUUUUCUGUAGUUGUCCAUGUAAGAUUUUAUCAGUUGGUUAUUAAAGCACUGUUAAGGAUUCCGAUGUAAUUACUUCAGUAUUUUUUAGGAUCUCGGAUUGGUAAAUUCAGUUUUUAAGUCUUAAUUUAAAGCUAUAGGAAACCCUUUUGUAAAUCUUAAUAUCUCGGAUUUUGGUGUCAAUUUGUAAACCUAUGGAUCAGAUUUCUUAGGUAUAGGAUGUUGAUAUAAGUCAAAGUAGUUCAUAUCUCAUACUUGGUGGUGUCAUGGAAAUUAAAACCACAAGAAGUGCUCAGACGUCGUUGGUCUUAACUUUGUUAUAAAUUUAUUGAGUGAAUCAAGUAAUUUAGCAGUUCUUUAGUUUAUCAAGACGUACUUUUGAGGGCUUGUAAUUGUGACCGUUAUAGAAAGAAUUAGUUUGUCUUAAGUACAAGGAGCUAAUUUCACACUUACCCGUUUCAUGAACUGGUUUAGGACACUUAAUUUUUUUAUAUAUUGUUUUCUCAAUUAAGAAAUAUUCCAUUUACAUAUCGGUUGAAGUCGUGAACGUUAAAACACGACUUAGUUUUGUGAGUCAGAUUUAAGAAACUUAAUACACAUCAAUAUUUUACGGAACUUUCCUAGAGUAUGAAUAAAUAACAUUCUCCUCUAGUAUGAAUCAAAAGAUAUUCCCGAGCGUGCUGCUUGCUAUUUGCAAUGCUAGGUGUGAAUGACAGAGAAUUUACCAUCAGUGAUGGAUAAGGUCCUGGUUCAGGUUACUAACUCAUGAUGUCUUAGUUGGGUAGUCACGGUAACCCGUGACUACCUACGUCGAUAUCCAGAGUUAGUAACCUGAAUCAUGACCUUAUCCAUCACUGAUGGUAAAAUAUCUGCCACUCACAACUAGCUUUGUAAAUAGCAAAGAGCACCGUCAGGAAUAUCUUUUGAUUACCCGUCCAGGUGACUUUAAACCAGUCCAUUCAAAUACGGUAAACAAUAUGAAUGGAAUUUGUUCAUACACGAGAAAUGUUUCGUAAAAUAUUGAUGUCUUAAUAGUUUCUGAAACCUGAUUAGAGUGAAAUUAGCUUUGUGUACGUAAAACACACAAACUAAGUCGUGUUUUAACGUUCAUGACUUGCAAGUUCUCGGAAAUAUGACUACUGUCGAAAUCAUUUCAUUUGUGACUUACAAUUCUUUUGUAUGUAUCUACUGUUAAGGAGAGAAUUUGUUGUAAAAAUU